CAAGGAAUUUUCCGCAAUGGGCGCAAGCCUGACGGAGCAACGCCGCGUGCGGGAUGACGCUUUUCGGAGUGUAAACCGCUGUUCGGGGGGACGAAGCACUGACGGUACCCCCGGAGGAAGGCCCGGCUAACUACGUGCCAGCAGCCGCGGUAAUACGUAGGGGUCGAGCGUUGUCCGGAGUUACUGGGCGUAAAGCGUGCGCAGGCGGCUCAUUGCGCCCGGCGUGAAAGCCCCCGGCUCAACCGGGGAGGGUCGUCGGGGACGGGUGAGCUUGAGGGUAUCAGGGGCUGGUGGAAUUCCCGGUGUAGUGGUGAAAUGCGUAGAGAUCGGGAGGAACACCCGUGGCGAAGGCGGCCAGCUGGGAUACACCUGACGCUGAGGCACGAAGGCGUGGGGAGCGAACGGG
This 406-nucleotide ribosomal RNA is filed under the name Bacillota bacterium. RNAcentral's name for it is "Firmicutes bacterium partial 16S ribosomal RNA". It matches the Rfam family "Bacterial small subunit ribosomal RNA", at positions 355 to 776 of the family's 1533-position model. Lineage: Bacteria; Bacillati; Bacillota. The record is from RNAcentral.